This 253-nucleotide ribosomal RNA is filed under the name uncultured bacterium. Its description in RNAcentral is "partial 16S ribosomal RNA". It matches the Rfam family "Bacterial small subunit ribosomal RNA", at positions 524 to 776 of the family's 1533-position model. The record is from RNAcentral.
UACGUAGGGGGCGAGCGUUGUCCGGAUUUAUUGGGCGUAAAGAGCGUGUAGGCGGCCAGGUAGGUCUGCUGUGAAAACUCGAGGCUCAACCUCGAGACGUCGGCGGAAACCAUCUGGCUAGAGUCCGGAAGAGGAGAGUGGAAUUCCUGGUGUAGCGGUGAAAUGCGCAGAUAUCGGGAAGAACACCCGUGGCGAAGGCGGCUCUCUGGAACGCAACUGACGCUGAGACGCGAAAGCGUGGGGAGCAAACAGG